Molecule: small RNA, 21 nt
Filed under: Arabidopsis thaliana (thale cress)
Lineage: Eukaryota; Viridiplantae; Streptophyta; Magnoliopsida; Brassicales; Brassicaceae
Description: ATSL076080
Source: RNAcentral
CAAGCCACUGUAGUCAAACUC